AGUGAACGCUGGCGGUAGGCCUAACACAUGCAAGUCGAACGGCAGCACAGUAAGAGCUUGCUCUUACGGGUGGCGAGUGGCGGACGGGUGAGGAAUACAUCGGAAUCUACUUUUUCGUGGGGGAUAACGUAGGGAAACUUACGCUAAUACCGCAUACGACCUACGGGUGAAAGCAGGGGAUCUUCGGACCUUGCGCGAUUGAAUGAGCCGAUGUCGGAUUAGCUAGUUGGCGGGGUAAAGGCCCACCAAGGCGACGAUCCGUAGCUUGUCUGAGAGGAUGAUCAGCCACACUGGAACUGAGACACGGUCCAGACUCCUACGGGAGGCAGCAGUGGGGAAUAUGGGACAAUGGGCGCAAGCCUGAUCCAGCCAUACCGCGUGGGUGAAGAAGGCCUUCGGGUUGUAAAGCCCUUUUGUUGGGAAAGAAAAGCAGCAGGUUAAUACCCCGCUGUUCUGACGGUACCCAAAGAAUAAGCACCGGCUAACUUCGUG
RNAcentral lists this ribosomal RNA (492 nucleotides) under uncultured bacterium. RNAcentral's name for it is "partial 16S ribosomal RNA". It matches the Rfam family "Bacterial small subunit ribosomal RNA", at positions 29 to 507 of the family's 1533-position model. The record is from RNAcentral.